Molecule: long non-coding RNA, 1127 nt
Organism: Hylaeus volcanicus
Lineage: Eukaryota; Metazoa; Arthropoda; Insecta; Hymenoptera; Colletidae
Exons: 3
Source: RefSeq, a predicted model, not a curated record
UAAAACGUGCCGGGCAAUUUCGCGGCCAGUUGAUUCGCUGACGUUGUACAGUGUGCACUUAACACCGCUCGAUUGUUUCCGCUGGAGAGUGUUAAAGAAUAUCGUGCACCAAGAGAGACCGAUUACAGAGAUGCACACGAGGCAAGGGAUCAUAGCAAAGUGAGCUGGAACGAAUCCAGAAACGAUUCCAUCGAAACGAAUGGUCAUCACUUUGAGCAUCUUUGAUAAUGUCACGAGUGUUGCGUUACCACCCUUUACGACCUUGAAUGACCUUCCGUUGGACAGUAAUAAUAUCCAUUAUUCGAGAGAGAUCAAAAAGACUGGGGAUGAAAGGAUGCAAUUUUUCCUUUUGGCGUAUCGUUCAUUGGAGCACGACGCUAUCAAGCAACCUGGCUGCGAUGAUGCUUUAUGGAAGAGAAUUGAGACCAAUUGAUAGUGACAGAGGUUUUCUACCGAACUUGGAAAAGCGUGGAUGGUGCUACGAACUCUCUAAGGUUGCAGAUAUACGACAUAAGGGAUCAAUCGUCAACUCAAUCAAACGUCAACUGGGAUCUGAAUUAUUAAUAGUAAACCCUGAAGAGGGGGGAAGGAUGAUAUUUCUCCAUAGUUACUUGUUUACUAGGUGCACGUAGAGUGAACCAGAACCUGCAUCGGCAAAUGAAGGGUUGACAGCUCCGGGCUACUGGAACAAAAUGUCUGACCCCUCGUGGAACACAAAGGGUUAAGGUAGUUCAGUUAAACCGUUUAGCUAAGUAUGAAGGCCGUACAUUUCCUCAGCGAGAAUGAGGGCACUAGAGAAGAAACAAGUGCGCAAGGUCCAGGUUGAUUCUCCUCUUGUGGGCUAUGUGUUCUCCCCAUUGUGCCCUCCAGCAUUGGAAAAAGUCGGAUUCCUCGGAAAUGCUUCUCGGUGUUUCUUGUUUUGUUUCUUCUCGCCCUAUGAAAGACUGACUUCGUGCAACGGACUUCAGAGAUGAGUCUCAAUUGUGUCCGACCAUCGACUACCCAAGAGGAUUUCCAUUGCUGAAGGGGGAAAUGGGUCAACCAUGAAGAUUUCUGAAGCCAGAAGGUUCGAGAGACGAGAGGAAAUGGUAAGAAAAGUGAAGGAAUGAUGAAAAAAGUGGAUGAAU